This is a long non-coding RNA of Gambusia affinis (western mosquitofish), 351 nucleotides long. RefSeq lists it as uncharacterized. Lineage: Eukaryota; Metazoa; Chordata; Actinopteri; Cyprinodontiformes; Poeciliidae. The transcript has 3 exons. The record is from RefSeq and is a predicted model, not a curated record.
GGCAAAUUUGUAAUUUCGUGUUUCGACUUUGGGAAGGAAGAAUAUUCACUCCUUAGAAGCGACAAUAAAACCCAAGGACAAUACUCUAUCUUGCACAAGCCCAGCUCCUCCGUGGCUCGCAGUAACGUACAGCGUGGCGCAGACAACAUGAUGAUGUUACCGGUGGCGUCCUCGCCUGGGUGAGCCAGUAACCCGGCACCUGAAGCGAGUGUUUCAAAGAGCCACUGGAAACUGAGAUCUUACCUCCGUCCUUCUGAGGAGCGCCAAUCAGUUUGAUGAGCCAGCGUUUCGUCUCGGGGACGACCUUCGGUCCGAGCCUCACCCGAACCAGCGGCUCGACCCGCUCUGAGG